Molecule: non-coding RNA, 213 nt
Filed under: Schistosoma mattheei
Lineage: Eukaryota; Metazoa; Platyhelminthes; Trematoda; Strigeidida; Schistosomatidae
Description: Eukaryotic small subunit ribosomal RNA
Rfam family: Eukaryotic small subunit ribosomal RNA
Source: Rfam by way of RNAcentral
GAAGUUAGAUCAUCAUGGAAAACUUAGAAGCAUUGGACGGCCCUUUGUACACACCGUCCAUCGGUACUACUGAUUGAAUGGUUUACUGAAGUCGUUGGAUUUGUGUCGUUGUAGUGACUUUGCCGCUCGACUAAUGUUGAGAAGAUGACCUAAUUUGACUAUUUAGAAGAAAUAAAAGUCGUAACAACGUUUUCGUAGGUGAACCUGAGGAAG